CCCUCAGCAGCCACCUUCUGCACUCGGCGCCACAGCUGGCCUCUGCAGCGACAUCCUCGUCUCCUCGUCUGCCGCCAGGCAUCCCCACAGCACUUUGGCACUGUGCAAGGUGGAAAGGAGAGGCGCAAUGAAAAGGAAAGCAAGAGCCUACACUGAGCCACACAUCAAUGUUGGCAGUGACUUUCAGGCCGAGCUCCCUGAGCUGCAGACCGGGCCGCCAAGUGAGGAUGAAGAGCCUGCAACCCUGGAAGGUCUGGAAGCCCUUGGAGGAAGACGACCCUGACAUGGAAAAACCGGACAGAGGUAGCUGUCUAGCUUUCCUUCCACUCCUGAGAUAUUCGGGUGUGUAAAAUGCUGGUUUUUGGAUAAAAAGGCAGCUUUUGGCAGGCUCUGCUUCUCUCCUUGUCAUGCCCAUCUUCCCUUCUGGAAGUUGUAGGGGCAAGGAGAAUGCUCUGCUUCUGCAGCAGAGCAGGAAAAAGAGCAACUGUGCUGCUCUCCAAAUGGGUCAGGGGCAUGUGCCACUGGAAGAGGGGAGAUUGGCCCCCACUCCUUAUGCCUAAAGCUGCAUGGAAGGGAGAGGCAGC
Passer domesticus (house sparrow) is the source of this 584-nucleotide long non-coding RNA. RefSeq lists it as uncharacterized. The transcript has 3 exons. Lineage: Eukaryota; Metazoa; Chordata; Aves; Passeriformes; Passeridae. The record is from RefSeq and is a predicted model, not a curated record.